This 467-nucleotide ribosomal RNA is filed under the name uncultured bacterium. Its description in RNAcentral is "partial 16S ribosomal RNA". It matches the Rfam family "Bacterial small subunit ribosomal RNA", at positions 28 to 506 of the family's 1533-position model. The record is from RNAcentral.
GACGAACGCUGGCGGCGUGCUUAACACAUGCAAGUCGAACGGAAAGGCCCUGCUUUUGUGGGGUGCUCGAGUGGCGAACGGGUGAGUAACACGUGAGUAACCUGCCCUUGACUUUGGGAUAACUUCAGGAAACUGGGGCUAAUACCGGAUAGGAGCUCCUGCUGCAUGGUGGGGGUUGGAAAGUUUCGGCGGUUGGGGAUGGACUCGCGGCUUAUCAGCUUGUUGGUGGGGUAGUGGCUUACCAAGGCUUUGACGGGUAGCCGGCCUGAGAGGGUGACCGGCAACAUUGGGACUGAGAUACGGCCCAGACUCCUACGGGAGGCAACAGUGGGGAAUAUUGCACAAUGGGCGGAAGCCUGAUGCAGCAACGCCGCGUGCGGGAUGACGGCCUUCGGGUUGUAAACCGAUUUCGCCUGUGACGAAGCGUGAGUGACGGUAAUGGGUAAAGAAGCACCGGCUAAAUACGU